Molecule: ribosomal RNA, 424 nt
Filed under: uncultured prokaryote
Description: bacterial SSU rRNA
Rfam family: Bacterial small subunit ribosomal RNA
Source: RNAcentral
UGGGGAAUAUUGGACAAUGGGCGAAAGCCUGAUCCAGCAAUGCCGCGUGAGUGAUGAAGGCCCUAGGGUUGUAAAGCUCUUUUACCCGCGAUGAUAAUGACAGUAGCGGGAGAAUAAGCUCCGGCUAACUCCGUGCCAGCAGCCGCGGUAAUACGGAGGGAGCUAGCGUUGUUCGGAAUUACUGGGCGUAAAGCGCGCGUAGGCGGCUUUUCAAGUCAGAGGUGAAAUCCCGGGGCUCAACCCCGGAACUGCCUUUGAAACUGAAUUGCUAGAAUCUUGGAGAGGCGAGUGGAAUUCCGAGUGUAGAGGUGAAAUUCGUAGAUAUUCGGAAGAACACCAGUGGCGAAGGCGACUCGCUGGACAAGUAUUGACGCUGAGGUGCGAAAGCGUGGGGAGCAAACAGGAUUAGAUACCCCCGUAGUCC